This 468-nucleotide ribosomal RNA is filed under the name Daphnia pulicaria. RNAcentral describes it as "partial small subunit ribosomal RNA". The stretch from base 109 to 468 matches the Rfam family "Microsporidia small subunit ribosomal RNA", at positions 752 to 1267 of the family's 1311-position model. Lineage: Eukaryota; Metazoa; Arthropoda; Branchiopoda; Diplostraca; Daphniidae. The record is from RNAcentral.
GUGAAAUUUUUAAUGUAAGGGAAAUUCUUAAGAAAUCUGUUGAGACUAAAAAAUUUAGGUAAAAAACCAGGAUUAGAUACCCUGUUAUUCUAAAUAAUAAUGUAAAUAGGGUAGUAAAAGUUGUUCUUCAAACCCAAAGAUUUUGGCGGCAUCUUAUCCUAAUAGAGGAGCUUGUCCUAUAAUUGAUAGUCCCCAUUUUAUCUUACCCUUUUUUGUUAAGCUUGUAUACCGCCGUUGUCAGAUUACUUUAAAAGAACGUUUUCAGGAAAAAUAUUUUUCUUACUUCAGGUCAAGGUGCAGUUUAUAGAAGGGCAGUGAUGAGCUACAAUUUUUAAUAGAAAUACGGAUUUUAGGCUUAAAACUCAGGUGAAGGUGGAUUUAUUAGUAAAUUUACUUAAGUACAGUAAGUUGAAUAAGGCAAUAGGAUGUGCACAUAUCGCCCGUCACUCUCUUCUCAAGAGGAGAUAA